This 237-nucleotide long non-coding RNA is filed under the name Gossypium barbadense (sea-island cotton). RNAcentral's name for it is "long non-coding RNA (GBAR_LNC005073)". The record is from RNAcentral. Lineage: Eukaryota; Viridiplantae; Streptophyta; Magnoliopsida; Malvales; Malvaceae.
GGAGUAUGACUUGGUCGUGUGGCCCCUGCACCUAAUUAAUGUAAAUUAAAAUGUUCACACGGCCUAGCACACGGGCAUAUGGCUUGGCCGUGUUACCCAAGUCAAUAACCAUCCUAAUUUGGACACGGGCUGGGACAUGGCCAUGUGUCCCUAUUUCGAUUGUCCAUACGGCCUGAGACACGGGCAUGUCUCUCGACCGUGUAAGACACACGGCCUGGCUGCACUGGCGUGUAUCCC